AUGGGGUUGGCACCUCAAAGCUUCCUUGUCGCUGUCUGGACCAACUCCCUAGAAAGCCAAGUGCCCUCCUGGAUCAUCCAUCAUGUCAGCCAGGGGCAGAGAGUCAUGCAAUAUAGAGGAUGUUGGGACCACUUCUGUGUAUCCACUUCUGUAUCCAAGGAUACAGCCAAGGGGCAGGGCUUGGAAUUUCCAGCCUUCAGCAGCUAUUCCUGUAGAAAUAGAGAUGGAGGUCAGAGAUCUCACAGGCUCCCUCAAACAGAACUGCAUCUCAUCUCGAGCCUCCCAGCUCUGUGCCUACAUGCUGCCCCAGACCUCAGGCUGUCCACUGAUGUCAGCAUUGCCUGCACCGGGGUGACCCUCAUUUCUUUGUGCAUCUCCUUCAUCUCUGCCAGCUCUGGGUAUGGAGCUAGGAACAAGUGCUACUUUGUUGGACUGUAUCAGCUGGGAUCAACUUGCUGGACUCUUGUGACAGGGCUGAAAGUUCAGUGGAUGGACUGCUGUUUGGGAAAGUUGGUGAUAGGCCCACAGUAAUCCCAUCCAAGGGUCAUGUCAUCUCCAGCUCCUCCUUGCCUCAUAUCCCCAAAGUCUCCUCUUCUUCUUCCCUGAGUUCCUCCCCUUCUCACCCCAACACAAGAGCUUUUGUGAAAAGCUUAUGUUCCCUGACUAUAGCAGAAUUCUCUUUAAAAGAAAGCUUACCUUUCUAACUCCAAAAGCUUCAUGAGCUAUUUAACGGUAAUUAUAUUUAUUAUGGAUAAUUUUCUAUACAUUCAUCCAGUCUGGGGUGUAUGCCUUAUCCCCCUUUAUGGCUUGAUCAGAAAUUUAAGAUUUUCCUCCCAGCUCACUCUCCUCUCAUACGGAUAUUGUCUAAAAGGAAAUAUAUACAGUGUUCUUAAAUGAUGCUGUCACCUCUCACUCAAGGGAAGGAAAAACUGUUCCAG
RNAcentral lists this long non-coding RNA (938 nucleotides) under Vulpes vulpes (red fox). RNAcentral's name for it is "lncRNA (ENSVVUG00000000842.1)". Lineage: Eukaryota; Metazoa; Chordata; Mammalia; Carnivora; Canidae. The record is from RNAcentral.